UCUGGGAUAGCUGGCCGAAAGGUCAAUUAAUACUGUUUCCUUUGGUAGCGAUACUAAAGGAAGAAAGACGGUCGAAUUAUGGCUGUCGUUCAGGGAGGGGCCCGCGUUCUAUUAGCUAGUUGGUGGGGUAAUGGCCUACCAAGGCGAUGAUAGAUAACCGGCUUGAGAGAGUGGUCGGUCACACUGGAACUGAGACACGGUCCAGACUCCUACGGGAGGCAGCAGUAGGGAAUAUUCCGCAAUGGGCGAAAGCCUGACGGAGCGACGCCGCGUGUGUGAUGAAGGCCUUCGGGUUGUAAAACACUGUUGAGAAGGAAGAAGUGCAUAGGGAGUAACUGCCUUAUGUUUGACGGUACUUUUCGAGGAAGCCCCGGCUAAUUACGUGCCAGCAGCCGCGGUAAUACGUAAGGGGCAAGCGUUGUCCGGAUUCACUGGGCGUAAAGGGCGCGUAGGCGGCGAUACAAGUCAGAGGUGAAAGCUAUGGGCUCAACCCAUAAACUGCCUUUGAAACUGUAUUGCUUGAAUAUUGCAGAGGAAAGUGGAAUUCAUGGUGUAGCGGUGAAAUGCGUAGAUAUCAUGGAGAACACCUAUGGCGAAGGCAGCUUUCUGGGCAAAUACUGACGCUGAGGCGCGAAAGCUAGGGUAGCGAACAGGAUUAGAUACCCUGGUAGUCCUAGCUGUAAACGUUGAGUACUAGGUGCUGGGAGUAAAAUUUCAGUGCCGCGCAAACGCAAUAAGUACUCCGCCUGGGGACUACGGCCGCAAGGCUAAAACUCAAAGGAAUUGACGGGGGCCCGCACAAGCGGUGGAGCAUGUGGUUUAAUUCGAUGCAACGCGGAAUACCUUACCAAGCCUUGACAUCCCUGGACAAACUGUGAAAGCAGUCUUUCGGAGCAAUCCGACUAGGUGACAGGUGGUGCAUGGCUGUCGUCAGCUCGUGUCGUGAGAUGUUGGGUUAAGUCCCGCAACGAGCGCAACCCCCGUGUCUAGUUGCUAACAGUUCGGCUGAGGACUCUAGACAGACUGCUGGUUUUACGCCAGAGGAAGGUGGGGACGACGUCAAGUCAUCAUGCCCCUUACGUUCAGGGCUACACACGUGCUACAAUGGCAAGUACAAAGGGCUGCGAAGCGGUAACGCGGAGCCAACCCCACAAAGCUUGCCUCAGUUCGGAUAGAGGGCUGCAACUCGCCCUCUUGAAGCUGGAAUCGCUAGUAAUCGUGAAUCAGCAUGUCACGGUGAAUACGUUCCCGGGCCUUGU
This 1259-nucleotide ribosomal RNA is filed under the name uncultured prokaryote. RNAcentral's name for it is "partial 16S ribosomal RNA". It matches the Rfam family "Bacterial small subunit ribosomal RNA", at positions 137 to 1384 of the family's 1533-position model. The record is from RNAcentral.